CAAAACAAUGAAAAUUGUUUGCGUGCGAUGUCAAUUAUUAUUUGUUCGAGUGUUUAAUCCAAAAAAUACACAAUGAAAUCGCCUCAUUUGCUAAAUUCAACAUUUGUUUGAAACUUUCUAAAUAGAUGCAGAUCGUGUGAGAAAACGCCAUUACAAUUUUACCAGUUUCGAGUGAUGUUUAAAGUUGGCGAUUUUCAGCCACUCACCCCACAAUAAAUCUUUAAUUACCGAAACCAUUUGCCUUGUAAAACUUUAAUAUGCGAAAGGAAGAAUGGGGACAUAUUUACCAGCAGAGACUCUGACAAAGGGGGAAAUUUGCAUACUUGAUAACGACAAAAUUGACAAGUUGGGACUAAUUUGUAUGGGAACAUUGCUGUUGUUUUAAUGGCUAUAACAACUACGAAAGCGCAUUUGGUUAGCGGGGCUUUCUGUUUGCAAAUCCUGAACAACUAAUCGAAUUUAUUUUACAAACACUGAUAGCUUGUUGAAAAUGCAAUCCGAAAAACAAAUACAAUAUUAGACGAA
Tribolium castaneum (red flour beetle) is the source of this 525-nucleotide long non-coding RNA. RefSeq lists it as uncharacterized. The transcript is spliced from 2 exons. The record is from RefSeq and is a predicted model, not a curated record. NCBI's taxonomy places the organism in Eukaryota, Metazoa, Arthropoda, Insecta, Coleoptera, Tenebrionidae.